AACUUUUCUCCAUUUCUCUCUUUUCAUGCCACAAAAUUUCUUCAAAUCUUCAACUGUCUCUGCUCAUACCAUAAAAUGUGUGAGCCACAUUUGGAGACCCAAAAACUCUAAUUAUAAAUUAUGACUCCAUCAGGAAUUUGAGUUCUCCAAAGUUGAAGGAGGAAGGAAGAGAGUUCAAAGUCUGAAUAUUCACUGCGAGGGUAAAUCGUUUGAAGUUUUGAAGGUUUGAAGCUUGAAAUCACUUUGAGGUGAUUUAUGUAGAAUCCCAUGACUAGAGAAGAGGUGUAUUCAUCCAUUCUUGGUGAGAGGUUGGGCUACAUGCUUGGUUUUGGAUUUGGAAAGAAGCCUCCUAGAAAGACUCAAAUGUAGCAGGCGAACAUAGAGGCCAGUGUAUCUUCUGCAAUGGAAAUUAUGCGUCAAGAUAUGCAAGCUGAUAUGGAUUGAAAGUUGCACGGAGAACUUAACUGGAAGUUACAAGAAAAACAUGAACAAAUGGCUAUCGACUUAAAAAGGGAUAUGGAACAUGAUUUGCAAAAUAAAUUGAAAGAGGAGCAUGCACACAUGAAAGGAGAAUUUGACAAGAUGUUCCAAGAACAAAUAGUUGCUUUCAUGACUAGAAUGCAAUAGGGACGAACUUCUUAAACAAUGGGAAGGACCGAAGAAAAGCUUGAAGGCGCGCAAUAGAAAAUUUUGGUCAUAUGUAAUAUGCAUAAAAUGGAAAUUUUUGAUCAUAUGUAAUAUACAUACAAUGGAAGUGUUUGAUGAUAUGUAAUAUACAUAAAUUGGAAGUUUUUGCUUUUUGGGUCAUAUGUAUAUGCAUAUAAUGAACCGAAGUACUCUGUCCAUAGUAUAUAUGCAGUUGACUUUUAAGUAAUGAAAGUAUUUAUAAUAUUCGGCUUGGAAAUGCUUUUGUAAUUUUUAUGCUACCGGAUGUUUUUAGUAGCUAUAUAUUAGUUUAAGAGAAUUCAAUUCUCAAUAGUAAAUAUUUAAUAGUUUUUGUAGCCAAUUUUAUUGUUGAUAUUUCAGUAGCAAGAUAAAUGUUCCACAGAUGUUAUAGUAGUUUUUUUGGCGAUUUAUGUCACUACUAAUGUUAGUUUCAGUAGCAAGAUGAAAGUUGCUACUGAUAGUAUAUUGGUUUUGUGACGACAAGAGUUGCUACUAAUAGAAACAUGUAGCAGCGAGAAAAAACUUGCCACUAAUAGUCUAUUAAGUUUGUGGCGACAAAAGUCGCUACUAAUAUCACUUUUGUAGUGGCGAGGUAAAAGUUGCUGCUGAUAGUUAAUUUGCUUUUGUGGCAGCAAUGUCGCCACUAAAGGUUUUAUUUCAGUGGUGACUAGGCCAAUAUCUAUGUUGUCAAAUAUUUUUUUGUGGCAUACUUGCUUACCUUUAGUGGCGAUAUAUGUCUCUAUAAAUGCCUG
Lycium ferocissimum is the source of this 1418-nucleotide long non-coding RNA. RefSeq lists it as uncharacterized. Lineage: Eukaryota; Viridiplantae; Streptophyta; Magnoliopsida; Solanales; Solanaceae. The transcript has 4 exons. The record is from RefSeq and is a predicted model, not a curated record.